Syngnathus typhle (broad-nosed pipefish) is the source of this 4284-nucleotide long non-coding RNA. RefSeq lists it as uncharacterized. The transcript has 4 exons. The record is from RefSeq and is a predicted model, not a curated record. NCBI's taxonomy places the organism in Eukaryota, Metazoa, Chordata, Actinopteri, Syngnathiformes, Syngnathidae.
AUGGAAACACGGUUCUAUUUAAUUGGGAUUCCCAGAAGUUGUCACCAACUGCAUUUCACAUGCUGACCAGGAGAUGGCGACAGCGUGCCGCCUGAAAACAAUGUAGUGAUGUGUAAUAGCCUGGUUGCUCGAUCGUUUUUUAAUUUCCAGGGUAAACCGAAGCGGUCAUCUCGACAGGUCACCUGGUGGCGCUAGUGUGCAAAGCGCCGUUUGACAUGCAGAAGAAGAAGUUUGCCUUGGCUCGGUGGACGUGACGUCAGACCCUCAGGUUAAUUGAAAACAGGUGUGCACAAGGGAGUUAUCGAAUAAAGGUGAAGCAAGAUGGCGCCUGAUCGCGUGGCAUUCUCUCAGGAUUUUCGCACUCAAUGGACGUAACUGCGUUUGAGGUUUGAGCGCAGCGCGUGUCAAUGCACUUGCCUUUGCAUCAUUUUGCAGUGUUUCAAAACGUUUUCGUUCGUUUUAAUGCUGGGCAGCUCUGCUUCGUUUCUUUCGUUUUUAACUCAUGAAUGAGACGUCUUUUACUUGGGGCUUGAACUAUAAGUGUUUGUUUGACUCUAGUCAAUGUUUGUUUGACUAUAGUCAAACAAAUAAAAAAAUAUAACUUUCUUAUUUAUUGUAUUUUUAAUACGGUGCUAUUUCAUUUCACGUUAUGCCAACGUAUAUAUGAAUGCGAGUUUUUCCUUCUCAAAAUCAAAUCCUUCCGCUCCACAAAUUAACCAAAACGGCGCCCGCAUUCAUUCUCAUACGUUGGAACUAUUUGCAAGUGUGUAUUUUUUCGGCUUUCAACGGUAAAUUAAAUGCCAAGUUGACUCCUACAGUUAAUUUGCAAAAAUCUAUAUUUACAAUUGUUUUGAAAAUGUACACAUUUACUCAUUCAUUUGCAUUCGGCUAAACCGCUAGCUCCCGAUUGGUUAAUUUUAAUCAGAUGUAAGGGUUUAAGUGAACUGUGGGCUCAUAUAUGGAAAAAUAAAGCAAUGAAAACAGUCAGUUCUUUAUUAGUCUUUUUUUCUUCUCUGCCCUUCCGAGUGUCCUUGUCCAAUAGGAGAGCCAGACUAUAUACCAAUAUGCAAUGUUGAUCUGCGCCGCAUCAAAACAAUUGCUCUUGUGAAUUCAACAAGUGAGCUGAAGUGACAUGCUCACUGUAAAAGCUCAGCUCACUGAGUGAGAAUAAUGGGUUGAAGAGAAGCAAUGAGGAAAGGACCAAUUCCACACCCAUUCAAGAAUCAAGCAGCAUGCCAAUGUGGACAUGUCAUGUGUGGGGAUCAUCUGACCAGGAGGGGGCAGUGUUGUGCACUGGUUGCCUUUGGUUAUGGGUGCACGCCGGAAAGGUUGCCUUGAAAUGAGGGCAGAGUUUUUGGGGGUCUGAUGGUUGGACUUGCUUAAGAGGUGCACUGGAGUUGUAGUUGAGGUUGUGGCUUGUCUGGAUCCAGAGCAGCUUUGUCUUGUGUGAGGAUAGCGGUUGAAAGCCGGCCGGCGCUUUGGGGGAGGACUUCAGUUUUUGCACACGCGAAGCCCUUUGAGACUUGACUAUGGCCAAUGGAAAUGAGCUUGACUUGACUCGGUCCGUCACACCGAUCGACACAACCAAAUCCUUGUCGUGUUUCACCCCUUUUGUUUCAGGUUUUGUGGAGGAACCAGCUUGGGUACCAAUAGCAGAAGCCCAAUGCCCAAGUUUGCUGUAAGCGCAGCGUUGUCUUGUGCUAGGAUUGCUAUUGAUGGCGCAUUGUAACCUUUGUGUCCAUCGAUUACACUUGUUGACUAUUGUAACAUUUUGUCAUUUUCUAACCUACCACUGUCGUACUUGCCUUCUUUGUUCUCCCCUCAGUGUAGGGCGACGUUGGAGCGAGUCGGUCCAGAAUGUUAAAUUUUGCAAUAUGACUUGUAACAUUUUCUUUUUCUACCCUACCACUGUUGUACUUGCGUUCUUUGUUUCCUCCUCGGUGUAGGGCGGCGUUGGAGCCAACUGGUCAACGAGGUGCCGGAAACCCAAACAAAACUUUGCCGUGGCGCCGAAUGUCCAAUUUUGCGAUGUGACUUGUUGACUAGUGCAACAUUUUGUCUUUACUGUCAUACUUGGGUUCUUUGUUCUCCCCUCGAUGUAGGGAGACGUCGGAGCGAGCGCUGUCCCGAAUGUCCAAUUUUGCAAUAUGACUUGCAACAUUUUGUCAUUUCCUAACCUACCACUGUCAUACUUGCGUCCUUUGUUCUCCCCUUGGUGUAGGGCGGCGUUGACGCGAGCCGGUCCACGAGAAACCACCGGUCGAGGGUGCUCAAGAACUAAUGACGCGAGCAGCGCACAACUCAUUGCAUGUUCUGCCUUUUGCAGACUGGACGCAAAAGGGGGGGACGCACGGCCCGACCCGGCGAUGGUAACCAAGAGUAGCUAGCUGCUGUGAUCAAGUAAGCAAGUGUGACCUCCAACUUGGGGUGCUCUUUGAGUCUCGCAUUGUUUCUGCAGAUGGCGACCGGGACGCGACACGAUCGGAUCAGAAGGUGUGGCAUUACUGAAGUAUCCUGCAGCCAGCCAGGUUCUGACGGAGACCCACUUCCCUGGAGGCGUUGAGCUUCAAUGCGUGAAAUUGAUUAUUUUUUUCUUUUUUUAAUUCACACCAGUGGUGUCCAAACGUCUGAGCGCCGCAUACGGAAACAAAUUCCUAAUUAUUUGACACAAAUUCAUUAAACACUCAAAUCAAUCAUGAUAUUUUGCUCUAAAUAUUUGGGCUACUGCUACAAAACGGUGUUUAUUUUGAAGGUCAUUCAUGUGGUGUCUUGAUAAACCUGACGUAGACAUAGCAAAAAUGAGGAUAAACUACUAUUGUGUCUGAGUGAAAUUUUGAACAGAGGAUUUGACUUGUAAACACAUCUUAAUAUUUUGAUGCCGUUCGUCAGUCGUAUUUUGGCGCUCCCCUAGUGGCCUGUGGGAAAGAGCCCCUAGGCUGCCGUUUGGACACUAAUGGUGAUGUGUAGGGCUGCACGUGUAUUGGAAAACUGCAAUAUGGUGGUAUGUUAUUGACAUGCACUUUAAGAAAGAAAAGAUGUUUUUUUUUUUAAUGUGACCUAAUGAAACGAGCUGUUUUCUUAUAAUUAUUUUAGAAGAUGACAAGUCAUUGAUGAAAGUUAACGUCUAACUGAGCACAUUCAGUUCAAAUCAAUUCUAUCCCAAGUUUUUGCAUGACUUUGCUCGAUGCAAUGGUCUGGCCCAGUUUAUCACUGGUUUUUCAAUAUGUUGUGCAGCCUUGAUUGAGUGCAAGCGCGCAGCAACGGCAAGCAAGCGCGCAAGCGAGACUUUUGUGCUUGUCUUGAAAGGUGAAUGAGAAGCUGCACAAAACGAAGAGCCGGCGGAUGGAGGUCACGAGAGAUUGGCGAGCAAAGGAAGAAAUCACCCCAAGAAAAGCAGUCUCCAUGUGAAGAAGAGGAAGUAGCCUGAUGCAUGGCUGGCCAGAGUUUCCUUAUUUGUCCCGCAGGGCUCGCUCACGUGGCGUCGGAGGGACUAGAGCAGUUCCUCAAAUGAAGAUGAGUACCAUCUGCCGGUCACGGAGUACGUUGACAGAAGUGAACCGCAUGCAACGGAGUGCCGUCUUUCUUUUUGCAGUUGUGCGAGGCAGAGGAAGGGUGCAAACGUCAAACAGGCCCGGAGCGGACCCGAACCUUCUGCAGACCUUAGCCCGUGACGAGCGGCCAACAUGAGGCGGGUGCAGAUGCGGGCGAGGCUGGGUGGGCAAAGCAGCCAACAUUUAGGGAGAGUAUGACUUUCUUUUUUUUCCUUUUGCACUUUCUUGCCCUCCUUCCACUUUCUCACUGGGUGUGCACACUGUCUGUCUGCAUGAUGCUUCUCUUUCUUCCAAGUGCUGUUGUUGUGCAAUAUUGUUUUAAAGUGUUUUUUUAAUACAUAGAGUGAACUGUAAAGUUUGAACUGUAAUUGUGUGCCUCUGUACCUGAAUUAAAUUGUUAACUGAAUUCAAGUGGUCCAUUUUCAACAUUGGCCUGUGUAGUCUAGCUGUGCGUAAUGAGGUGAAUGUCAAGUAGACUGACACACAUAGAUGCAAAUGACAAGUGUGUCAAAGCGUAAAAAGUCGGCGUUGCAACCCAUGAAGUAUGUCUUUGGCAAACCUUUUUGCAACCCUGCUGUAAAAUAGCCACUGAAUUCAGAAUCUGGCUCUGUUUUGGUGCACAUUUUUUGUACGAGUAAAAGCCUUUAUUUUAUUGAAGUCCAAGCCUGUUUUUCUUUUUGCGGUUAGAUUUGUCAUGCGGGGUGUUUCUGUGAAUAAAGUUAACUUUGGUGUG